This 401-nucleotide ribosomal RNA is filed under the name uncultured bacterium. Its description in RNAcentral is "partial 16S ribosomal RNA". It matches the Rfam family "Archaeal small subunit ribosomal RNA", at positions 473 to 873 of the family's 1478-position model. The record is from RNAcentral.
AUACCGGCUGCUCGAGUGAUGGCCACUAUUACUGGGUUUAAAGCGUCCGUAGCUUGACUGUUAGGUCUCUUGGGAAAUCUUUUGGCUUAACCAAAAGGCGUCUAAGAGAUACCGGCAUUCUUGGAACUGGGAGAGGUAAGCCGUACUUCGGGGGUAGGAGUGAAAUCUUGUAAUCCUCGAGGGACGACCUAUGGCGAAGGCAGCUUACCAGAACAGCUUCGACAGUGAGGGACGAAAGCUGGGGGAGCAAACGGGAUGAGAUACCCCGGUAGUCCCAGCCGUAAACAAUGUGCGUUAGGUGUGUCGGUUACCACGCGUAACUGAUGCGCCGAAGAGAAAUCGUGAAACGCACCACCUGGGAAGUACGGUCGCAAGGCUGAAACUUAAAGGAAUUGGCGGGG